RNAcentral lists this ribosomal RNA (442 nucleotides) under uncultured bacterium. RNAcentral's name for it is "partial 16S ribosomal RNA". It matches the Rfam family "Bacterial small subunit ribosomal RNA", at positions 338 to 795 of the family's 1533-position model. The record is from RNAcentral.
CCUACGGGAGGCAGCAGUGGGGAAUAUUGGGCAAUGGGCGCAAGCCUGACCCAGCAACGCCGCGUGAAGGAAGAAGGCUUUCGGGUUGUUAACUUCUUUUGUCAGGGAAGAGUAGAAGACGGUACCUGACGAAUAAGCCACGGCUGACUACGUGCCAGCAGCCGCGGUAAUACGUAGGUGGCAAGCGUUGUCCGGAUUUACUGGGUGUAAAGGGCGUGUAGCCGGGUUGACAAGUCAGAUGUGAAAUCCUGCGGCUUAACCGCAGGACUGCAUUUGAAACUGUUGAUCUUGAGUACUGGAGGGGGAGAUGGAAUGCCCGGGGGAGCGGGGAAAUGCGGAGAUAUUAAGAGGAAGACCAGGGGCGAAGGCGGGUUGCUGGACAGGAACUGACGGGGAGGCGCGAAAGCGAGGGGAGCAAACAGGAUUAGAUACCCCAGUAGUC